ACAGCCCCUCCCCCGGCGGCCCCCCCUUUACAGGGAGGGGCCGUCGCCAUCAGCCUCACUGCCCGCACCUGGGGCUCCUCCAGCUCCGGCCCGCAGCUGUGGUACCGAAAUCCGGAAUAAAACUCCAGAACACCAAUGGGAAGUUCAGAAGCAGGCACUUCGUUUAUUGAAUGAAAGAUGUCAAGAGUCAUCUUAUCUUGAAGAGUUGUUAACUGGGGUAAAAAUACAGAUUUUAAUACCCAUCUUAUUUUAGUUCUAAGACUUGGCAAUUGCCAGGUAUCAUCUUUUUGAUUUACCCAAGUCCACCAUCGAGGCCACAGGGGAGAUUUCUUCCAGAGAGAGGACAGAGUUAUUAAGUCUAAAGUCCAUUAUUUGCUUUUGUCCUUCAUGAAAAGGUGAGUGCAUCAUAUAUCAUCACUAUUCACCCAAACAGUUAACCCUAAACUUUUCACCUGUCCUUUAAUACAGUCAAUUCCAAGCUAAAUUUUUUCCAUUAUUAAGAGGGGACCAAAUAUCAUUUAAAAUAUUAUUAUACUUUCUACAAAUACAUCCCCAUCUUAGAGCUUUAGCUACUAGAGAAAGUCUUUGGAUUUUGGGGUCACAGGAGCUGCAAGUAUAAACUUUCAUACCGUUCUGUUUAGGCUGUGUGAUUUUUCUCUGUUUGUCUAAACCAAUCUAAAUUUCCAUAGAUGGUCCUGACUCUGGGUGGAUCUAACAAGGAUCCUGGAACUCCAGGGGUAUUGUUUAAUUCUUACCGGAUUCGAUCCUGGCUUUAAAUCAAUUCUCACAGGUUCUGCUUUUUGGAUUUACUGGGAACUUCCCAGUCCAGACGAUUGGAAUUACAGCAUUAUACUUUGACUGGUAUAAUCUUCUGCUUUCCGGAACGCUGCAAGGAGCUUUGUGAGUCGAGGGUGAUGGUUCUCCCCGAGAAUACCUCGGUGCCGGCCGGAGUUCGAUCAACACUCGAUCUCAUCCAGUCUCACUUGCAAGGUCCCAUCUGGGUCGCCAAAACCGUUACCAAAAUCCGGAAUAAAACUCCUUAACACCAACGUGAAGUUAAGAAGCAGGCACUUCGUUUAUCGCAGUGCUGGGGACAUGGGGGAUCGCUCCUCCAAAGGCGUGUCCCACUUAGUAUCAAAAUCCAUCAGUUUUUACAGACUUUUUCUGUCAGGUCAUUGUUACAUAAGCUCUUUACAUAAAAAUGCAUACUAUGCUCAUUCUUAAA
This is a long non-coding RNA of Harpia harpyja (harpy eagle), 1225 nucleotides long. RefSeq lists it as uncharacterized. The transcript has 3 exons. NCBI's taxonomy places the organism in Eukaryota, Metazoa, Chordata, Aves, Accipitriformes, Accipitridae. The record is from RefSeq and is a predicted model, not a curated record.